This 443-nucleotide ribosomal RNA is filed under the name uncultured bacterium. RNAcentral describes it as "partial 16S ribosomal RNA". It matches the Rfam family "Bacterial small subunit ribosomal RNA", at positions 338 to 795 of the family's 1533-position model. The record is from RNAcentral.
CCUACGGGAGGCAGCAGUGGGGAAUAUUGGACAAUGGGGGGAACCCUGAUCCAGCGACGCCGCGUGAGUGAAGAAGUAUUUCGGUAUGUAAAGCUCUAUCAGCAGGGAAGAAAGAAAUGACGGUACCUGACUAAGAAGCCCCGGCUAACUACGUGCCAGCAGCCGCGGUAAUACGUAGGGGGCAAGCGUUAUCCGGAUUUACUGGGUGUAAAGGGAGCGUAGACGGCGAUGCAAGUCUGAAGUGAAAGGCGGGGGCCCAACCCCCGGACUGCUUUGGAAACUGUAUGGCUGGAGUGCAGGAGAGGUAAGUGGAAUUCCUAGGGUAGCGGUGAAAUGCGUAGAGAUGAGGAGGAACACCAGUGGCGAAGGCGGCUUACUGGACUGUAACUGACGUUGAGGCUCGAAAGCGUGGGGAGCAAACAGGAUUAGAUACCCGGGUAGUC